Molecule: ribosomal RNA, 253 nt
Filed under: uncultured bacterium
Lineage: Bacteria
Description: partial 16S ribosomal RNA
Rfam family: Bacterial small subunit ribosomal RNA
Source: RNAcentral
UACGUAGGGCGCAAGCGUUGUCCGGAAUUAUCGGGCGUAAAGAGCUCGUAGGCGGCUUGUCACGUCGGGUGUGAAAGCCCGGGGCUUAACCCCGGGUCUGCAUUCGAUACGGGCAGGCUAGAGUGUGGUAGGGGAGAUCGGAAUUCCUGGUGUAGCGGUGAAAUGCGCAGAUAUCAGGAGGAACACCGGUGGCGAAGGCGGGACUCUGGGCCGAUACUGACGCUGAGGAGCGAAAGCGUGGGGAGCAAACAGG